GAUGAACGCUGGCGGCGUGCUUAACACAUGCGAGUCGAACGGAAAGGCCCUGCUUUUGUGGGGUGCUCGAGUGGCGAACGGGUGAGUAACACGUGAGUAACCUGCCCUUGACUUUGGGAUAACUUCAGGAAACUGGGGCUAAUACCGGAUAGGAGCUCCUGCUGCAUGGUGGGGGUUGGAAAGUUUCGGCGGUUGGGGAUGGACUCGCGGCUUAUCAGCUUGUUGGUGGGGUAGUGGCUUACCAAGGCUUUGACGGGUAGCCGGCCUGAGAGGGUGACCGGCCACAUUGGGACUGAGAUACGGCCCAGACUCCUACGGGAGGCAGCAGUGGGGAAUAUUGCACAAUGGGCGGAAGCCUGAUGCAGCAACGCCGCGUGCGGGAUGACGGCCUUCGGGUUGUAAACCGCUUUCGCCUGUGACGAAGCGUGAGUGACGGUAAUGGGUAAAGAAGCACCGGCUAACUACGUG
RNAcentral lists this ribosomal RNA (468 nucleotides) under uncultured bacterium. Its description in RNAcentral is "partial 16S ribosomal RNA". It matches the Rfam family "Bacterial small subunit ribosomal RNA", at positions 28 to 507 of the family's 1533-position model. The record is from RNAcentral.